AGCGAACGUUUGCGGCGGGCUUAACACAUGCAAGUCGAACGAGAAUCCCUUCGGGGAGGAGAGUGGCGCACGGGUGCGUAACACGUGGAUAACCAACCCAUUGGUUUGGGACAACACCGGGAAACUGGUGCUAAUACCAGAUGUGUCGCAGCUGUCUUCAGGCGGUUGCGAGAAAGGCCCGCAAGGGUCGCCAACGGACGGGUCCGCGUCCCAUCAGCUAGUUGGUGAGGUAAUGGCUCACCAAGGCAAAGACGGGUAGCUGGUCUGAGAGGAUGAUCAGCCACACUGGAACUGAGACACGGUCCAGACUCCUACGGGAGGCAGCAGUGGGGAAUUUUGGACAAUGGGCGCAAGCCUGAUCCAGCAAUGCCGCGUGCAGGAUGAAGGCCUUCGGGUUGUAAACUGCUUUGUACGGUAACGAAAGGACUCUGGUUAAUACCUGGGCCCGAUGACGGUACCGUAAGAAUAAGACACCGGCUAACUACGUGCCAGCAGCCGCGGU
This 502-nucleotide ribosomal RNA is filed under the name uncultured bacterium. RNAcentral describes it as "bacterial SSU rRNA". It matches the Rfam family "Bacterial small subunit ribosomal RNA", at positions 29 to 521 of the family's 1533-position model. The record is from RNAcentral.